RNAcentral lists this long non-coding RNA (640 nucleotides) under Trifolium pratense (red clover). RNAcentral's name for it is "long non-coding RNA (TPRA_LNC002422)". Lineage: Eukaryota; Viridiplantae; Streptophyta; Magnoliopsida; Fabales; Fabaceae. The record is from RNAcentral.
CAUAAUCUACAAAUAAUUUGCAAAUCAACUUAAAAGUUAAAAAUCAUUGAAUUUCUUAGUGAACUAAAUAAUAACAUAAGCUUCUAAACAACGCAAGUAACAACAUGAGGACUUAUACUUUUGAUCCAGAAUUUUACUAACCUAAUCUGAAUUUUGCAUUAUUAAACUACCAGAAUAUAUUGUUGGAAGGAAGCUUUAAUAGGUGGAGAAAGUGUUUAAGUAUUUGAGAGAGGAUAUGAAACUUGUUGGAAGGGAAUGCUACUUAUAUUAUUGAGUGUUUAUAAUUUUUUUUGCUUGGUUUACAAAUGACUACCUCUCCCCUAUUUAUAGUUUUCAAGGGAGAGUUCUACAUACUCCUAGAGACUCUUCUACAUACUUCUAAGAGAGAGUUCUACAUAAUAUUCUAUGAGAGAGUUCUUUCUACACACUUCUCUCUACUACUACAUAUUAUAACUUCUACUAGUUAUUUCUACAUAUCUUUAGAACAUUCUUUAGACUUACUACUUAUUACUAAGUUUGGGCUUAAAAUUCCUAAGGCCCAAAAUUAACAAACCCAAAAUCAAUUUUCAUAUUCAACAUAUAUCUGAUUCAUCUUGGGGUUUAGAUUCAUUUUUGGGGAUUAUUUCAUCAAAUUUUAAGU